GGCAACGUGGCCGAGUGGUUAAGGCGGCGCCCUGCUAAGGCGUUGGGUUCUGCCCGCGUAGGUUCGAAUCCUGCCGUUGUCG
Eimeria maxima is the source of this 82-nucleotide non-coding RNA. Lineage: Eukaryota; Apicomplexa; Conoidasida; Eucoccidiorida; Eimeriidae. The record is from Rfam.